Molecule: ribosomal RNA, 474 nt
Filed under: Streptococcus sp. oral taxon 070
Lineage: Bacteria; Bacillati; Bacillota; Bacilli; Lactobacillales; Streptococcaceae
Description: bacterial SSU rRNA
Rfam family: Bacterial small subunit ribosomal RNA
Source: RNAcentral
GACGAACGCUGGCGGCGUGCCUAAUACAUGCAAGUAGAACGCUGAAGCUUGGUGCUUGCACCGAGCGGAUGAGUUGCGAACGGGUGAGUAACGCGUAGGUAACCUGCCUGGUAGCGGGGGAUAACUAUUGGAAACGAUAGCUAAUACCGCAUAAAAUGGAUUAUCGCAUGAUAAUCGAUUGAAAGGUGCAAAUGCAUCACUACCAGAUGGACCUGCGUUGUAUUAGCUAGUUGGUGGGGUAACGGCUCACCAAGGCGACGAUACAUAGCCGACCUGAGAGGGUGAUCGGCCACACUGGGACUGAGACACGGCCCAGACUCCUACGGGAGGCAGCAGUAGGGAAUCUUCGGCAAUGGACGGAAGUCUGGCCGAGCAACGCCGCGUGAGUGAAGAAGGUUUUCGGAUCGUAAAGCUCUGUUGUAAGAGAAGAACGAGUGUGAGAGUGGAAAGUUCACACUGUGACGGUAUCUACCA